RNAcentral lists this ribosomal RNA (468 nucleotides) under uncultured bacterium. RNAcentral describes it as "partial 16S ribosomal RNA". It matches the Rfam family "Bacterial small subunit ribosomal RNA", at positions 28 to 507 of the family's 1533-position model. The record is from RNAcentral.
GACGAACGCUGGCGGCGUGCUUAACACAUGCAAGUCGAACGGAAAGGCCCUGCUUUUGUGGGGUGCUCGAGUGGCGAACGGGUGAGUAACACGUGAGUAACCUCCCCUUGACUUUGGGAUAACUUCAGGAAACUGGGGCUCAUACCGGAUAGGAGCUCCUGCUGCAUGUUGGGGGUUGGAAAGUUUCGGCGGUUGGGGAUGGACUCGCGGCUUAUCAGCUUGUUGGUGUGGUAGUGGCUUACCAAGGCUUUGACGGGUAGCCGGCCUGAGAGGGUGACCGGCCACAUUGGGACUGAGAUACGGCCCAGAAUCCUACGUGAGGCAGUAGGGGGGAAUAUUGCACAAUGGGCGGAAGCCUGAUACAGCAACGCCGCGUGCGGGAUGACGGCCUUCGGGUUGUAAACCGAUUUCGACUGUGACGAAGAGUGAGUGACGGUAAUGGGUAAGGAAGCACCGGCUAACUACGUG